AACGAACGCUGGCGGCAUGCCUAACACAUGCAAGUCGAACGAGACCUUCGGGUCUAGUGGCGCACGGGUGCGUAACGCGUGGGAACCUGCCCUUAGGUUCGGAAUAACUCCCCGAAAGGGGUGCUAAUACCGGAUAAUGUCUUCGGACCAAAGAUUUAUCGCCUUUGGAUGGGCCCGCGUUGGAUUAGCUAGUUGGUAGGGUAAAAGCCUACCAAGGCGACGAUCCAUAGCUGGUCUGAGAGGAUGAUCAGCCACACUGGGACUGAGACCCGGCCCAGACUCCUACGGGAGGCAGCAGUGGGGAAUAUUGGACAAUGGGCGAAAGCCUGAUCCAGCAAUGCCGCGUGAGUGAUGAAGGCCUUAGGGUUGUAAAGCUCUUUUACCCGGGAUGAUAAUGACAGUACCGGGAGAAUAAGCUCCGGCUAACUCCGUG
This 433-nucleotide ribosomal RNA is filed under the name uncultured bacterium. RNAcentral's name for it is "partial 16S ribosomal RNA". It matches the Rfam family "Bacterial small subunit ribosomal RNA", at positions 29 to 507 of the family's 1533-position model. The record is from RNAcentral.